GUUCUGUGAUGAAAAUCAUGCGCGUCAUCUGAUUUCAGAUGAGCUUUGUUCUGAGGCUUAUCUGUACUUGAUGAUUAUAUCUUCUGAGAAC
Molecule: small nucleolar RNA, 91 nt
Organism: Uloborus diversus
Lineage: Eukaryota; Metazoa; Arthropoda; Arachnida; Araneae; Uloboridae
Product: small nucleolar RNA SNORD10
Exons: 1
Source: RefSeq, a predicted model, not a curated record